UGCAUCAUAACUUUAAUUUUUUGCUGAUAUAUUUACUGCUUCCACUGUACACAUUGAAUUUUCAACAUAAGUAGUGCACAUAGGUGUUCUUAACUUGCAAAAAAAUUUUAAAACCCAAUUCACAAACCCCCCCCCUUCUUGGAUUGUAUCUCUGGGCAACAUUCUAGUAUACAAGGAUAAGAAAGCUAGUGUUGUAUACCACAGUGAUGGAGGCGUGUAAGAAAAUUAUUACUGAUAAAUGCACCCUCUCCAUCAGAUUGAAAAAAUUUAAUUUUAUGAUCAAACUAAUUUUCAACCAAUU
This 301-nucleotide long non-coding RNA is filed under the name Elaeis guineensis (African oil palm). RNAcentral describes it as "long non-coding RNA (EGUI_LNC018604)". The record is from RNAcentral. Lineage: Eukaryota; Viridiplantae; Streptophyta; Magnoliopsida; Arecales; Arecaceae.